CAAGUCUCCGGUUAUAUCCACCUGCUUAACAGAUGGGCCGCUGGAGAUACUACAAAGCUAGGGCGUGGGAGAGGCGGACGGUAUUCGGGGGGUAGGGGUAAAAUCCUCUGAUCCUCCGAGGACCACCAGUGGCGAAGGCGGUCUGCCAGAACACGUUCGACGGUGAGGGAUGAAAGCUGGGGGAGCAAACCGGAUUAGAUACCCGGGUAGUCCCAGCUGUAAACGAUGCAAACUCGGUGAUGCAUUGGCUUAUGGCCAAUGCAGUGCCGCAGGGAAGCCGUUAAGUUUGCCGCCUGGGAAGUACGGACGCAAGUCUGAAACUUAAAG
This 327-nucleotide ribosomal RNA is filed under the name uncultured archaeon. RNAcentral describes it as "bacterial SSU rRNA". It matches the Rfam family "Archaeal small subunit ribosomal RNA", at positions 534 to 861 of the family's 1478-position model. The record is from RNAcentral.